Non-coding RNA from Mycena rosella, 91 nucleotides. The record is from the annotation of a GenBank genome assembly. Lineage: Eukaryota; Fungi; Basidiomycota; Agaricomycetes; Agaricales; Mycenaceae.
GCGGACGUGGUGUACGGCACACCACUGCCCCAGAUAUCAUAUUCGGACUAAGUUCGAGCAGUUGAACGGGGUUCGACUCCCCGCGUCCGCA